RNAcentral lists this ribosomal RNA (588 nucleotides) under uncultured bacterium. RNAcentral describes it as "bacterial SSU rRNA". It matches the Rfam family "Bacterial small subunit ribosomal RNA", at positions 337 to 917 of the family's 1533-position model. The record is from RNAcentral.
UCCUACGGGAGGCAGCAGGGGGGAAUAUUGGACAAUGGGGGGAACCCUGAUCCAGCCAUGCCGCGUGUGUGAAGAAGGCCUUUUGGUUGUAAAGCACUUUAAGCGAGGAGGAGGCUACUUAGAUUAAUACUCUAGGAUAGUGGACGUUACUCGCAGAAUAAGCACCGGCUAACUCUGUGCCAGCAGCCGCGGUAAUACAGAGGGUGCGAGCGUUAAUCGGAUUUACUGGGCGUAAAGCGUGCGUAGGCGGCUUCUUAAGUCGGAUGUGAAAUCCCUGAGCUUAACUUAGGAAUUGCAUUCGAUACUGGGAAGCUAGAGUAUGGGAGAGGAUGGUAGAAUUCCAGGUGUAGCGGUGAAAUGCGUAGAGAUCUGGAGGAAUACCGAUGGCGAAGGCAGCCAUCUGGCCUAAUACUGACGCUGAGGUACGAAAGCAUGGGGAGCAAACAGGAUUAGAUACCCUGGUAGUCCACGCCCUAAACGAUGUCAACUGGUUGUUGGGUCUUCACUGACUCAGUAACGAAGCUAACGCGUGAAGUUGACCGCCUAGGGAGUACGGUCGCAAGAUUAAAACUCAAAUGAAUUGACGGA